This 498-nucleotide ribosomal RNA is filed under the name uncultured bacterium. Its description in RNAcentral is "partial 16S ribosomal RNA". It matches the Rfam family "Bacterial small subunit ribosomal RNA", at positions 30 to 523 of the family's 1533-position model. The record is from RNAcentral.
AUUGAACGCUGGCGGCAUGCUUUACACAUGCAAGUCGAACGGUAACAGGCCGCAAGGUGCUGACGAGUGGCGAACGGGUGAGUAAUGCAUCGGAACGUGCCCAGUCGUGGGGGAUAACGCAGCGAAAGCUGCGCUAAUACCGCAUACGAUCUAUGGAUGAAAGCGGGGGACCGUAAGGCCUCGCGCGAUUGGAGCGGCCGAUUUCAGAUUAGGUAGUUGGUGGGGUAAAGGCUCACCAAGCCAACGAUCUGUAGCUGGUCUGAGAGGACGACCGGCCACACUGGGACUGAGACACGGCCCAGACUCCUACGGGAGGCAGCAGUGGGGAAUUUUGGACAAUGGGCGCAAGCCUGAUCCAGCAAUGCCGCGUGCAGGAAGAAGGCCUUCGGGUUGUAAACUGCUUUUGUACGGAACGAAACGGUCCUGGUUAAUACCUGGGGCUAAUGACGGUACCGUAAGAAUAAGCACCGGCUAACUACGUGCCAGCCGCCGCGGUAA